GACGAACGCUGGCGGCGUGCUUAACACAUGCAAGUCGAACGGUGAAGCGCCUUCCUUUUUGGUGGGUGUGGAUGAGUGGCGAACGGGUGAGUAACACGUGAGUAACCUGCCCCCUUCUUCUGGAUAACCGCAUGAAAGUGUGGCUAAUACGGGAUAUUCUGGGUCUGUCGCAUGAUGGGUCUGGGAAAGAUAUUGUUUCGGUGGGGGAUGGGCUCGCGGCCUAUCAGCUUGUUGGUGGGGUGAUGGCCUACCAAGGCGGUGACGGGUAGCCGGCCUGAGAGGGUGGACGGUCACACUGGGACUGAGACACGGCCUAGACUCCUACGAGAGGCAGCAGUGGGGAAUAUUGCACAAUGGGCGCAAGCCUGAUGCAGCGACGCCGCGUGAGGGAUGGAGGCCUUCGGGUUGUGAACCUCUUUCGCCAGUGAAGCAGGCCUGCCUCGUUUGUGGGUGGGUUGACGGUAGCUGGAUAAGAAGCGCCGGCUAACUACGUG
Molecule: ribosomal RNA, 494 nt
Filed under: uncultured bacterium
Lineage: Bacteria
Description: partial 16S ribosomal RNA
Rfam family: Bacterial small subunit ribosomal RNA
Source: RNAcentral